Molecule: ribosomal RNA, 439 nt
Filed under: uncultured bacterium
Lineage: Bacteria
Description: partial 16S ribosomal RNA
Rfam family: Bacterial small subunit ribosomal RNA
Source: RNAcentral
CUACGGGGCGCUGCAGUGAGGAAUAUUGCACAAUGGGGGGAACCCUGAUGCAGCAACGCCGCGUGGAGGAUGACGCAUUUCGGUGUGUAAACUCCUUUUAUAUGUCAAGAAAAUGACGGUAGCAUAUGAAUAAGCACCGGCUAACUCCGUGCCAGCAGCCGCGGUAAUACGGAGGGUGCAAGCGUUACUCGGAAUCACUGGGCGUAAAGGACGCGUAGGCGGGUUGGAAAGUCAGGUGUGAAAUCCUACAGCUUAACUGUAGAACUGCACUUGAAACUUCUAAUCUAGAGUGUGGGAGGGGGAGAUGGAAUUAGUGGUGUAGGGGUAAAAUCCGUAGAUAUCACUAGGAAUACCUAAAGCGGAGGCGAUCUCCUGGAACAUUACUGACGCUAAGGCGUGAAAGCGUGGGGAGCAAACAGGAUUAGAUACCCUUGUAGUC